Homo sapiens (human) is the source of this 8994-nucleotide RNA transcript. It is a transcript of the gene named ankyrin repeat domain 30A, with no coding region annotated. The record is from RefSeq and is marked reviewed. NCBI's taxonomy places the organism in Eukaryota, Metazoa, Chordata, Mammalia, Primates, Hominidae. The transcript has 55 exons.
GGCUCUGCUCAGCGCGAUUCUACUGAGAGAGGCCUGAGUGUGCAAGAGCUUGGCGAACACAGAACUUUUUACGGGUAUCGAGGCGGUGCGUGGACUGAAGAAGGGCGAGGGCGAUUGGGGAGGGGUGGGGGGUGGUGGCUGGGAAGGGCGAUCGGGAGGCGCGGGCACUCUCUAGCAGGUGGCCGCAGCCAUGGAGGAGAUCUCUGCCGCCGCUGUCAAGGUCGUGCCGGGCCCGGAGCGCCCGAGCCCUUUCAGCCAGCUAGUCUAUACCAGCAACGACUCCUACAUCGUCCACUCUGGGGAUCUUAGAAAGAUCCAUAAAGCUGCCUCCCGGGGACAAGUCCGGAAGCUGGAGAAGAUGACAAAGAGGAAGAAGACCAUCAACCUUAAUAUACAAGACGCCCAGAAGAGGACUGCUCUACACUGGGCCUGUGUCAAUGGCCAUGAGGAAGUAGUAACAUUUCUGGUAGACAGAAAGUGCCAGCUUGACGUCCUUGAUGGCGAACACAGGACACCUCUGAUGAAGGCUCUACAAUGCCAUCAGGAGGCUUGUGCAAAUAUUCUGAUAGAUUCUGGUGCCGAUAUAAAUCUCGUAGAUGUGUAUGGCAACACGGCUCUCCAUUAUGCUGUUUAUAGUGAGAUUUUGUCAGUGGUGGCAAAACUGCUGUCCCAUGGUGCAGUCAUCGAAGUGCACAACAAGGCUAGCCUCACACCACUUUUACUAUCCAUAACGAAAAGAAGUGAGCAAAUUGUGGAAUUUUUGCUGAUAAAAAAUGCAAAUGCGAAUGCAGUUAAUAAGUAUAAAUGCACAGCCCUCAUGCUUGCUGUAUGUCAUGGAUCAUCAGAGAUAGUUGGCAUGCUUCUUCAGCAAAAUGUUGACGUCUUUGCUGCAGAUAUAUGUGGAGUAACUGCAGAACAUUAUGCUGUUACUUGUGGAUUUCAUCACAUUCAUGAACAAAUUAUGGAAUAUAUACGAAAAUUAUCUAAAAAUCAUCAAAAUACCAAUCCAGAAGGAACAUCUGCAGGAACACCUGAUGAGGCUGCACCCUUGGCGGAAAGAACACCUGACACAGCUGAAAGCUUGGUGGAAAAAACACCUGAUGAGGCUGCACCCUUGGUGGAAAGAACACCUGACACGGCUGAAAGCUUGGUGGAAAAAACACCUGAUGAGGCUGCAUCCUUGGUGGAGGGAACAUCUGACAAAAUUCAAUGUUUGGAGAAAGCGACAUCUGGAAAGUUCGAACAGUCAGCAGAAGAAACACCUAGGGAAAUUACGAGUCCUGCAAAAGAAACAUCUGAGAAAUUUACGUGGCCAGCAAAAGGAAGACCUAGGAAGAUCGCAUGGGAGAAAAAAGAAGACACACCUAGGGAAAUUAUGAGUCCCGCAAAAGAAACAUCUGAGAAAUUUACGUGGGCAGCAAAAGGAAGACCUAGGAAGAUCGCAUGGGAGAAAAAAGAAACACCUGUAAAGACUGGAUGCGUGGCAAGAGUAACAUCUAAUAAAACUAAAGUUUUGGAAAAAGGAAGAUCUAAGAUGAUUGCAUGUCCUACAAAAGAAUCAUCUACAAAAGCAAGUGCCAAUGAUCAGAGGUUCCCAUCAGAAUCCAAACAAGAGGAAGAUGAAGAAUAUUCUUGUGAUUCUCGGAGUCUCUUUGAGAGUUCUGCAAAGAUUCAAGUGUGUAUACCUGAGUCUAUAUAUCAAAAAGUAAUGGAGAUAAAUAGAGAAGUAGAAGAGCCUCCUAAGAAGCCAUCUGCCUUCAAGCCUGCCAUUGAAAUGCAAAACUCUGUUCCAAAUAAAGCCUUUGAAUUGAAGAAUGAACAAACAUUGAGAGCAGAUCCGAUGUUCCCACCAGAAUCCAAACAAAAGGACUAUGAAGAAAAUUCUUGGGAUUCUGAGAGUCUCUGUGAGACUGUUUCACAGAAGGAUGUGUGUUUACCCAAGGCUACACAUCAAAAAGAAAUAGAUAAAAUAAAUGGAAAAUUAGAAGAGUCUCCUAAUAAAGAUGGUCUUCUGAAGGCUACCUGCGGAAUGAAAGUUUCUAUUCCAACUAAAGCCUUAGAAUUGAAGGACAUGCAAACUUUCAAAGCAGAGCCUCCGGGGAAGCCAUCUGCCUUCGAGCCUGCCACUGAAAUGCAAAAGUCUGUCCCAAAUAAAGCCUUGGAAUUGAAAAAUGAACAAACAUUGAGAGCAGAUGAGAUACUCCCAUCAGAAUCCAAACAAAAGGACUAUGAAGAAAAUUCUUGGGAUACUGAGAGUCUCUGUGAGACUGUUUCACAGAAGGAUGUGUGUUUACCCAAGGCUGCGCAUCAAAAAGAAAUAGAUAAAAUAAAUGGAAAAUUAGAAGGUAGAUAUGCUGCUGAAUUUAGAACAUUCUCUGCAAUGAUAAGGUCUCCUGUUAAAGAUGGUCUUCUGAAGGCUAACUGCGGAAUGAAAGUUUCUAUUCCAACUAAAGCCUUAGAAUUGAUGGACAUGCAAACUUUCAAAGCAGAGCCUCCCGAGAAGCCAUCUGCCUUCGAGCCUGCCAUUGAAAUGCAAAAGUCUGUUCCAAAUAAAGCCUUGGAAUUGAAGAAUGAACAAACAUUGAGAGCAGAUGAGAUACUCCCAUCAGAAUCCAAACAAAAGGACUAUGAAGAAAGUUCUUGGGAUUCUGAGAGUCUCUGUGAGACUGUUUCACAGAAGGAUGUGUGUUUACCCAAGGCUGCGCAUCAAAAAGAAAUAGAUAAAAUAAAUGGAAAAUUAGAAGGUAGAUAUGCUGCUGAAUUUAGAACAUUCUCUGCAAUGAUAAGGUCUCCUGUUAAAGAUGGUCUUCUGAAGGCUAACUGCGGAAUGAAAGUUUCUAUUCCAACUAAAGCCUUAGAAUUGAUGGACAUGCAAACUUUCAAAGCAGAGCCUCCCGAGAAGCCAUCUGCCUUCGAGCCUGCCAUUGAAAUGCAAAAGUCUGUUCCAAAUAAAGCCUUGGAAUUGAAGAAUGAACAAACAUUGAGAGCAGAUGAGAUACUCCCAUCAGAAUCCAAACAAAAGGACUAUGAAGAAAGUUCUUGGGAUUCUGAGAGUCUCUGUGAGACUGUUUCACAGAAGGAUGUGUGUUUACCCAAGGCUACGCAUCAAAAAGAAAUAGAUAAAAUAAAUGGAAAAUUAGAAGAGUCUCCUGAUAAUGAUGGUUUUCUGAAGGCUCCCUGCAGAAUGAAAGUUUCUAUUCCAACUAAAGCCUUAGAAUUGAUGGACAUGCAAACUUUCAAAGCAGAGCCUCCCGAGAAGCCAUCUGCCUUCGAGCCUGCCAUUGAAAUGCAAAAGUCUGUUCCAAAUAAAGCCUUGGAAUUGAAGAAUGAACAAACAUUGAGAGCAGAUCAGAUGUUCCCUUCAGAAUCAAAACAAAAGAAGGUUGAAGAAAAUUCUUGGGAUUCUGAGAGUCUCCGUGAGACUGUUUCACAGAAGGAUGUGUGUGUACCCAAGGCUACACAUCAAAAAGAAAUGGAUAAAAUAAGUGGAAAAUUAGAAGAUUCAACUAGCCUAUCAAAAAUCUUGGAUACAGUUCAUUCUUGUGAAAGAGCAAGGGAACUUCAAAAAGAUCACUGUGAACAACGUACAGGAAAAAUGGAACAAAUGAAAAAGAAGUUUUGUGUACUGAAAAAGAAACUGUCAGAAGCAAAAGAAAUAAAAUCACAGUUAGAGAACCAAAAAGUUAAAUGGGAACAAGAGCUCUGCAGUGUGAGAUUGACUUUAAACCAAGAAGAAGAGAAGAGAAGAAAUGCCGAUAUAUUAAAUGAAAAAAUUAGGGAAGAAUUAGGAAGAAUCGAAGAGCAGCAUAGGAAAGAGUUAGAAGUGAAACAACAACUUGAACAGGCUCUCAGAAUACAAGAUAUAGAAUUGAAGAGUGUAGAAAGUAAUUUGAAUCAGGUUUCUCACACUCAUGAAAAUGAAAAUUAUCUCUUACAUGAAAAUUGCAUGUUGAAAAAGGAAAUUGCCAUGCUAAAACUGGAAAUAGCCACACUGAAACACCAAUACCAGGAAAAGGAAAAUAAAUACUUUGAGGACAUUAAGAUUUUAAAAGAAAAGAAUGCUGAACUUCAGAUGACCCUAAAACUGAAAGAGGAAUCAUUAACUAAAAGGGCAUCUCAAUAUAGUGGGCAGCUUAAAGUUCUGAUAGCUGAGAACACAAUGCUCACUUCUAAAUUGAAGGAAAAACAAGACAAAGAAAUACUAGAGGCAGAAAUUGAAUCACACCAUCCUAGACUGGCUUCUGCUGUACAAGACCAUGAUCAAAUUGUGACAUCAAGAAAAAGUCAAGAACCUGCUUUCCACAUUGCAGGAGAUGCUUGUUUGCAAAGAAAAAUGAAUGUUGAUGUGAGUAGUACGAUAUAUAACAAUGAGGUGCUCCAUCAACCACUUUCUGAAGCUCAAAGGAAAUCCAAAAGCCUAAAAAUUAAUCUCAAUUAUGCAGGAGAUGCUCUAAGAGAAAAUACAUUGGUUUCAGAACAUGCACAAAGAGACCAACGUGAAACACAGUGUCAAAUGAAGGAAGCUGAACACAUGUAUCAAAACGAACAAGAUAAUGUGAACAAACACACUGAACAGCAGGAGUCUCUAGAUCAGAAAUUAUUUCAACUACAAAGCAAAAAUAUGUGGCUUCAACAGCAAUUAGUUCAUGCACAUAAGAAAGCUGACAACAAAAGCAAGAUAACAAUUGAUAUUCAUUUUCUUGAGAGGAAAAUGCAACAUCAUCUCCUAAAAGAGAAAAAUGAGGAGAUAUUUAAUUACAAUAACCAUUUAAAAAACCGUAUAUAUCAAUAUGAAAAAGAGAAAGCAGAAACAGAAAACUCAUGAGAGACAAGCAGUAAGAAACUUCUUUUGGAGAAACAACAGACCAGAUCUUUACUCACAACUCAUGCUAGGAGGCCAGUCCUAGCAUCACCUUAUGUUGAAAAUCUUACCAAUAGUCUGUGUCAACAGAAUACUUAUUUUAGAAGAAAAAUUCAUGAUUUCUUCCUGAAGCCUACAGACAUAAAAUAACAGUGUGAAGAAUUACUUGUUCACGAAUUGCAUAAAGCUGCACAGGAUUCCCAUCUACCCUGAUGAUGCAGCAGACAUCAUUCAAUCCAACCAGAAUCUCGCUCUGUCACUCAGGCUGGAGUGCAGUGGCGCAAUCUCGGCUCACUGCAAACUCUGCCUCCCAGGUUCACGCCAUUCUCCUGCCACAGCCUCCCGAGUAGCUGGGACUACAGGCGCCCGCCACCAAGCACAGCUAAGUUUUUUAUUUAUAGUAGAGACGGGGUUUCACUGUGUUAGCCAGGAUGGUCUCGAUCUCCUGACCUCGUGAUCUGCCUGCCUCGGCCUCCCAAAGUGCCGGGAUUACAGGCGUGAGCCACCGCGCCGGGCCUGAUUUCAGUUUCUUCCAGCCCUUCCUAUUGUUAACAUGGGGGUUGUGUUGAAGAAUAUAAAGUUACAAAGUCAAGGAAGUAGGAAACAUUUUUACAAGUAUUAUGUAGCCAUCUUGGUGGGGCUGUGGUGAGGUAGGCUGCAAAUGAUUCUCCUAUUUCUUUCCCUGAGUUCAGAACAUAGGAAUUAGAUUGAUAGACAUCAACAUACCCGCUUUAUUGCUGACUCAUGACAACUAAUGGGAAGACAUGGCUCAGAUGUGCAGCCACAGUGAGCUUCUGAACAUUUCUUCUCAGACUAAGCUCUUACACACAGUUGCAGUUGAAAGAAAGAAUUGCUUGACAUGGCCACAGGAGCAGGCAGCUUCCUGCAGACAUGACAGUCAACGCAAACUCAUGUCACUGUGGGCAGACACAUGUUUGCAAAGAGACUCAGAGCCAAACAAGCACACUCAAUGUGCUUUGCCCAAAUUUACCCAUUAGGUAAAUCUUCCCUCCUCCCAAGAAGAAAGUGGAGAGAGCAUGAGUCCUCACAUGGAAACUUGAAGUCAGGGAAAUGAAGGCUCACCAAUUAUUUGUGCAUGGGUUUAAGUUUUCCUUGAAAUUAAGUUCAGGUUUGUCUUUGUGUGUACCAAUUAAUGACAAGAGGUUAGAUAGAAGUAUGCUAGAUGGCAAAGAGAAAUAUGUUUUGUGUCUUCAAUUUUGCUAAAAAUAACCCAGAACAUGGAUAAUUCAUUUAUUAAUUGAUUUUGGUAAGCCAAGUCCUAUUUGGAGAAAAUUAAUAGUUUUUCUAAAAAAGAAUUUUCUCAAUAUCACCUGGCUUGAUAACAUUUUUCUCCUUCGAGUUCCUUUUUCUGGAGUUUAACAAACUUGUUCUUUACAAAUAGAUUAUAUUGACUACCACUCACUGAUGUUAUGAUAUUAGUUUCUAUUGCUUACUUUGUAUUUCUAAUUUUAGGAUUCACAAUUUAGCUGGAGAACUAUUUUUUAACCUGUUGCACCUAAACAUGAUUGAGCUAGAAGACAGUUUUACCAUAUGCAUGCAUUUUCUCUGAGUUAUAUUUUAAAAUCUAUACAUUUCUCCUAAAUAUGGAGGAAAUCACUGGCAUCAAAUGCCAGUCUCAGACGGAAGACCUAAAGCCCAUUUCUGGCCUGGAGCUACUUGGCUUUGUGACCUAUGGUGAGGCAUAAGUGCUCUGAGUUUGUGUUGCCUCUUUUGUAAAAUGAGGGUUUGACUUAAUCAGUGAUUUUCAUAGCUUAAAAUUUUUUUGAAGAACAGAACUUUUUUUAAAAACAGUUAGAUGCAACCAUAUUAUAUAAAACAGAACAGAUACAAGUAGAGCUAACUUGCUAAAGAAAGGAUGGAGGCUCUGAAGCUGUGACUUCAUUAUCCCUUAAUACUGCUAUGUCCUCUGUAGUACCUUAGAUUUCUAUGGGACAUCGUUUAAAAACUAUUGUUUAUGCGAGAGCCUUGCUAAUUUCCUAAAAAUUGUGGAUACAUUUUUUCUCCCAUGUAUAAUUUUCUCACCUUCUAUUUAAAAAGAAAAAAAAAGUCAGUGUAGUAUUUACAUAUUUUACCCUAUAAGGAGCUAACAUAACUUUUGAUUUAGUGUUAUUCAUAAAAUUAGGUUAGCAGUUUAUUAACCUUUUGUAUUUGCUCUGGCAAUGUUUAAUAUCUCAUAAGCUAUACACACCUCGAAGCCAUCAAUGACAACCUUUUCUUGCUGAAUAGAACAGUGAUUGAUGUCAUGAAGACAAUUUUAUCUCCUUUUGCCUUCCAUAAUUUGUACCAGGUUAUAUAAUAGUAUAACACUGCCAAGGAGCGGAUUAUCUCAUCUUCAUCCUGUAAUUCCAGUGUUUGUCACGUGGUUGUUGAAUAAAUGAAUAAAGAAUGAGAAAACCAGAAGCUCUGAUACAUAAUCAUAAUGAUAAUUAUUUCAAUGCACAACUACGGGUGGUGCUGAACUAGAAUCUAUAUUUUCUGAAACUGGCUCCUCUAGGAUCUACUAAUGAUUUAAAUCUAAAAGAUGAAGUUAGUAAAGCAUCAGAAAAAAAAGGUAAACAAAUUGCUCCUGUGGAGAUGAUUGGCAUCACAUGGUGUUUUGAGCUGAUACACCCAACACUUGAGCUCACUGCAACAGUACCAGAUUUUCACCGCUAUGCCUCCUUUCACUCUGGGAGUCUUCCAGAGGUCUUGCACUCGGGAGAGCAUGCUCAGGUUUCCCCAGCUCUACAAAAUCACCCAGAAUGCCAAAGACUUCAACACAAGGGUAAAUAAGGUUGAUCUCAGAAUUGUCACCUCAAAAAGGCCCUGCCUUCCACUGUUCAGUUCUGGUCAUCUGCCUAUGAGAUAUCUGAAGCUUGAAAGAGAACACUUGAAAAUCACUGAGACCGUGACUCCCAUCCCAGCACACACAGCAAGCCAACCCCUGAGGUCAAUGUGGGCAGCAGCCCCCAUGGUCCAAGUUCAAGAUCCGCUGUGGAAGACUUUUUUAGGCAAUCACACAGCCCUGCAUGGAGUCCUGAUGAGAGCUUGCCUAAUUGUUGCUAGAGUCCACACCAUGGAAACCGAUUCCUCAUCUUUUAAGAAUACCAUAUGGAUACUUAUAUAUAGGCAUGAAUUAAGCAACUAGGCCUUUCAACAGUUUUGGAGAAGGCCAUUUCCCACUUUUAAAAUAAAUAAUGCUCCUAUAAGAUCAGAUACUGUGUUGACCAGUGGUCAUGCCACUGCCUGUUGAUUUGUUGAAAAUAUUGUUUACACGUAUGUUCUUGUUACUGAUUGUCAGAAAGCUGGUUUUGAGACUGCAGCUUGGACUAAAUUCAGUCAUCUGGCUGUCUGGGGAAGCAUGCUGACCAGUCUGGUGUUCUUUGGCAUCUACUCAGCCAUCUGGUCCACCAUUCUCAUUGCCCCAAAUAUGAGAGGACAGUGCAUGAGAUUCAGCCAUCAACCGUGAUGAACUGGAUCAUGGAAUCUAACAAUAUCAAGUUUGGAUAGAAAGGAGCUUGGCAAUCUUGUGGUCCAUGCCUCCUCAAUUUACCAAGGAAGCUGUGCAAGCUCAGGUCUCCAGGUUCAUCCCAGAGACCCCACCCUGGGGUUGCCCGCAGCAUUCCUGUCCUUAGACCCCAAAAACAGGCUGCUGGGCCCUGUAUUUAGGGACCUCUGCACUGGCUCUUCUUCUCUGGGUGUAUUUCUCUGCACAGAGUGAAAAGCUGUGAUGCACACAGCCAGUCUUCCCACUUCUAAUCUGUUCUCUGGGCUCCCAGGAACCCAAGCCUCUUUCUCAAACAGCCAAAUGCCCACUGCCCAGGCCUGCCUGGGCCUCCUUCCAGAUCAAGGCCAGUUUGCACAACCUUAGGCCCAAGGGACAGUUGUUUGCAAGGGGUGUGCACUGAGUAGAUUGAUGUUUGCACUGGUGUUUCCACCGACGUUUAAAGGAGGAUGUUCAUGCUGGGGCACAGAACCCAGGUGGAAAGGGAAGAACUGUGGGUCAGACUUUAAUUGGUGUUUCCCACCCAGGAAUACAUAUUUUAGGGGCAGGUCUGGGCAUGGCACAGCUGUCUGCUAUCUCUGCCUCACUUACUCUGCGGAAGUAAACAAACCCCCCUGGGUUAACCCAA